This 495-nucleotide ribosomal RNA is filed under the name uncultured bacterium. RNAcentral's name for it is "partial 16S ribosomal RNA". It matches the Rfam family "Bacterial small subunit ribosomal RNA", at positions 29 to 506 of the family's 1533-position model. The record is from RNAcentral.
AUGCACGCUUGCGGCGUGCCUCAUACCUGCAAGUCGCGCCCACAGACGAGGAGCUUGCUCCUCUGACGUUAGCGGCGGACGGGUGAGUAACACGUGGAUAACCUACCUAUAAGACUGGGAUAACUUCGGGAAACCGGAGCUAAUACCGGAUAAUAUAUUGAACCGCAUGGUUCAAUAGUGAAAGACGGUUUUGCUGUCACUUAUAGAUGGAUCCGCGCCGCAUUAGCUAGUUGGUAAGGUAACGGCUUACCAAGGCGACGAUGCGUAGCCGACCUGAGAGGGUGAUCGGCCACACUGGAACUGAGACACGGUCCAGACUCCUACGGGAGGCAGCAGUAGGGAAUCUUCCGAAAUGGGCGAAAGCCUGACGGAGCAACGCCGCGUGAGUGAUGAAGGUCUUCGGAUCGUAAAACUCUGUUAUUAGGGAAGAACAAAUGUGUAAGUAACGAUGCACGUCUUGACGGUACCUAAUCAGAAAGCCACGGCUAACUACGU